Molecule: long non-coding RNA, 1133 nt
Organism: Haliotis rubra (blacklip abalone)
Lineage: Eukaryota; Metazoa; Mollusca; Gastropoda; Lepetellida; Haliotidae
Exons: 2
Source: RefSeq, a predicted model, not a curated record
CUGAGUGAGUAUGGUCUGACAAAACUUUCAGUAAUAUUCCAACAAUAUGAAGGAGAAUCAAACCCAGGCAUUAAUAUGGAGUAAACGCUUUUACCACUAGGCCACCUCACUAAAUAAGAAUAAUUGGUGCUUGUAAUUAGUUUCAAGGGUGCUGUUGUACAAAGCAAUGUUUGCUUUAAGAUGAUCAUAACUACCAUUCUUUAACACAGAAGUAUAACAAUUGUAUCUAACUAUGCGUAAGGUGGCACACAUUUAUAUUUUCUGAAGGCAAGUUUAUUGUUGGCAGUCCUAUGAAACAGGAGUGCUUUAAGUUUUUGUUGGAAUUUGACCUUUGAUGGUGAUUUUGCUAAAGGCUACGACACAAAUUUUUAACAUUAGAAGUUAUUGUUGGACUUCUCCUAACUGACCCUUGGGAAUUCUUUUGGCACAUGUCAUGAAAAGGUCAAAGGUUGAGGUCAUGAGAUAGAAAAGUGCUUACAUAACACAUUUUAAUGCAGUUAUCUUUAAGUUCGGUAUAUACCAUCAUUUAUGCACCUUUUAAGAAUUUUUCAACCGAAUAAUUUUUCUCACAAAUAAUGGCUCAAAUAUAUUUGACAGUAUAUCCUACAAUGGUCUUGUUCCACUUGGAGGUGUAAUGAGGUCAGAGGUCAAGGUUACAUAACUUACAAAAUAGGAAGAUCUCGCUCAAGAACUUGUUACACUUUCAAAUAUAGUAGUAAUGAAUGUAUAAUUAAACUUGAAGUGUAUAUUGUUUCCAGGAUGUAACACCUUUUUGAUUUGUCCAUGAAAGGUCAAGGCUAUCUCUGAGAGCAUUAUUGUAAUAUAUUUUAAGAUCAAUGUUUUUCGACUGGAAGUACUCGGUGGUAAAAUGAAAGACUUUAAGCUUUGAGAAAUUUUUGUUGAAGGCCGAUACUUAUGCUUUUGAUCACUGGAUUGUCUGGUCCAGACUCGAUUAUUUACAGACUGCCAUAUAGCUGGAAUAUUGCUGAAUGCGGCAUUAAACAAAGCAGUAGUAGUUGAAGGUGCUGCAUCAGAAAGUAAUCGUAGUGGAGGUGGAGCUUCAGUUUUUGUGCUUAGUUUUCCUUAACUGGAAUCAUAGUGAGGCCAAACGUUUUAUAGACUGCUAAUGGAAA